This 9161-nucleotide long non-coding RNA is filed under the name Salvia miltiorrhiza (redroot sage). RNAcentral describes it as "long non-coding RNA (SMIL_LNC004879)". The record is from RNAcentral. Lineage: Eukaryota; Viridiplantae; Streptophyta; Magnoliopsida; Lamiales; Lamiaceae.
CAUAAAAGAGCUUAACGUUUGCUUGUCCCUGUAGCUUAUAAAAGGGAUUAAAGCUGAAUGUUCAUGUGUCCUAUUGGCUUAUAAAAGAGUUUAAAUCUCACUUGUCCCUUCUGUUCACAAAAGAGUUUAGUGCUCAUGUGUCCCUCUUACUUACAAAAGAGCUCAAUGCUCAUGUGUCACUCCUAAGCAAGAGCUUAAUGCUCUGGUGUCUGUGUUUAUAAAAGAGCUUAAAGCUCAUGUGUCCCGGUUGCUUAUAAAAGAGCUUAAAGCUCACUUGUCCCUCUCGUUUAUAAAAAAGAGCAUAAAGGUCACAUGUCUUUAUCACUUCUUAAAGCUCACUUGUCCCUAUGGCUUGUAAAAGAGCUUGAAGCUCAUUCGUCCUGCUGCUUAUAAAAGAUUAUGAAGCUCACGUGUCCCUGUGGCUCAUAAAAGAGCUCGUCUCUGUAGCUUAUAAAAGGGCUUAAAGCUGAAAGCUCAUGUGUCCUAUUGGCUUAUAAAAGAGUUUAAGGCUCACGUGUCCCUUCUUUUCACAGAAGAGUUUAGUGCUCAUGUGUCCCUCUUACUUACAAAAUAACGCAAUGCUCAUGUGCCACUCCUAAGCAAGAGCUUAAUGCUCAUAUGUCCCUGGUGCUUAUAAAAGAGCUUAAAGCUCAUGUGUCCCGGUUGCUUAUAAAAGUGCUUAAGACUCACGUGUCCUUGCUUAAAAAGGAGUUUAAUGCUCAUAACCCAAUGAUUACGAAAUAGCUUGAUGAUCAUGUGUGAAAGCGCUUGAUGCUCAAAUGUCCAUGUUGUUUAUCUAAAAACUCUCUCGAGUGUCCAUGUUGCAUAUGAAAAGAGCUUAAUGCGCACGUAUCCUCCAGAGCUGAUGCUCACAUGUCCCUUCUGUGUCCCUGUGGCAUAUGAAAGAGCUUACAGCUCACUUGUCCCUAUCAAUUAUAACAGAGCUUAAAGCUCACUUGUCCCUAUUCCUUAUUAAAGCGCCUAAUGCUUACGUGUUCCAUGUUGCUUAUAAAAGAGUUUCAAGUUUACUUGCCCCUAUCGCUUAUAAAAGAGCUUAAAGCUCACAUAAAAUAGCAUGAAGCUCACUUGUCCUUGUGAAUUAUAGAAGAGUUUAGAGCUCACUUGUCGGUGUCGCUUAUAAAAGAGCUUAAAGGUCACUUGUCCCUUCCACUUAUACAAGAGCAUAAAGCUGACGUGUCCUGGUUGCUUGUAAUAUAGCUUAUAACUGACUUGUCCCUCUCUCUCUCUUAUAAAAGAGCUUAAACCUCACGUCUCCCUGUCACUUAUAAAAGAGCAUUCAGCUCACUUGUCUAUGUCGCUUAAAAAGAGCUCAAAGCUCAUGUGUCCAUGUCCCUUAUAAAAGAGCAUGAAGCGCACGUGUCUCUGUGGCCUAUAAAAGAGCUUAAAGCUCACUUCUCCCUGUUGCUUAUCAAAGAGCUUAAAAGUUACUUGUCCCUCCCCAUUUGUAAAUGUCCCUGACGUUUAUAAAAUUGCAUAUAGCUCAUGUGUCCUUGAUGCUUGUAAAAGAGCUUAAAGCUCACGUGUCUAUAUCGCUUAUAAAAGAGCUUAAGGCUCAUGUGUCUCUAUUGCUUAAGGCUCAUGUGUCCCUAUUGUUUAUAAAAGAGCUUAACGGUCACACGUCUCUCUUGCUUAUAAAAGAGCUUAAUGCUCAUUUAUCCUAAUGAUUAUGAAGUAGCACAAUGCUUAUGAAAGAACUUGCUCAAAUGUCCAUGUUGGUUAUGAAAAGCGUCUAAUGCUCAGGUAUCACUCAUAGCUUGAUUCUCACAUGUCCCUACUGCUUAUGAAAGAGCUUAAAGCUCACUUAUCGUGUGGCUUAUGAAAGAGCCUAAAGCUCACUUGCCCUUGUUACUUAUAAAGAGCAUAAAGCUCACUUGCCCAUGCUGCUUAUUGAAAACUUAAAGCUCACUUGUCCCUGUCAUUUGUAAAAGAACUUAAAGCUCACUUAUCCUCAUUGUUAAUUGAAGAGCUUAAAGCAUAAAGCUCACUUGUCCCUGCUGCAUAUUAAACAGCAUAAAGCUCGCGUGUCCCUAUGGCUUAUAGAAAAGCUUGAAGGUUAGUUGUCCCAGUCUCUUAUAGAAGAGUUUAAAGCUCACGCUCCCUGUUGCUUAUAAAAGAGAUUAAAAUAAUCUUGUCCAUGUCCCUAAUAGAACAACUUAAAGCUCACAUAAAAGAGCAUGUAGCUCACGUGUCCAUAUGGAUAUAAAAUAGCAUAAAGCUCAACGUUUCCUUCCCAUUUAUGAAAAAGCUUAGAGGUCACUUGUCCCUCUCGCUUAUAAAAGGGCUUAAAGCUCACGGGUCCCUGUUGUUUAAUAUAAGAGCUUAAAGCUCACUUUUCUCUGCCACUCGUAAAAGACCAUAAAGCUUACUUGCUCCUGCCGCUUAUAAAAGAGCGUAAAGCUCACUUGUCCCUGUCAUUUAUGAAAGAGUUUUAACGCUCACUUGUUCCCAUCAUUAAUUAAAGAGCUUGAAGCAUAACGCUCACUUGUCCCUGCUGCUUAUUAAAGAGCAUAAAGCCCACUUGUCCCUCUGGCUUAUGGAAAAGCUUAAAGGUUGCUUGUCCCUGUCUCCUAUAGAAGAGUUUAAAGCUCAUGUGUCCAUGUUGCUUAUAAAAGAGAUUAAUAUAAACUUGUCCAUGUCCCUACUAAAAUAACUUAAAGCUCACAUAAAAGAGCAUGACGCUCACGUGUCCCGAUGUUGAUUAUAAAAGAGCUUAAAGCUCACUUGUCCUCGUCGCUUGCAAAAGAGCUAAAGCUCACUUGUCCCCCCUCCCCCCGCGCUUAUAAAAGAACUUAAAAGCUCACUUGUCUCUGCCGCUUAUAGAAGAGCUCAAAGUUCUGGGGUCUGUGUAUAUAAAAGAGCUUAAAGCUCAUGUGUCCCGGUUGCUUAUAAAAGAGCUUAAAGCUCACUUGUCCCUCUCGUUUAUAAAAAAGAGCAUAAAGGUCACAUGUCUUUAUCGCUUCUUAAAGAGCUUAAAGCUCACUUGUCCCUAUGGCUUAUAAAAGAGCUUGAAGCUCAUUCGUCCUGCUGCUUAUAAAAGAGUAGGAAGCUCACGUGUCAAUGUGGCUCAUAAAAGAGCUUAAAGUUUGCUUGUCUCUGUAGCUUAUAAAAGGGCUUAAAGCUGAAAGCUCAUGUGUCCUAUUGGCUUAUAAAAGAGUUUAAAGCUCACGUGUCCCUUCUGUUCAUAAAAGAGUUUAGUGCUCAUGUGUCCCUCUUACUUACAAAAGAGCGCAAUGCUCAUGUGUCACUCCUAAGCAAGAGCUUAAUGCUCACAUGUCCCUGGUGCUUAUAAAAGAGCUUAAAGCUCAUGUGUCCCGGUUGCUUAUAAAAGUGCUUAACACUCACGUGUCCUUGCUUAAGAAAGAGUUUAAUGCUCAUAACCCAAUGAUUACGAAAUAGCUUGAUGAUCAUGUGUGAAAGCGCUUAAUGCUCAAAUGUCCCUGUUGCUUAUCUAAAAACUUUCUCGAGUGUCCCUGUUGCAUAUGAAAAGAGCUUAAUGCGCACGUAUCCCUCAGAGCUGAUGCUCACAUGUCCCUCAUGUGUCCCUGUGGCAUAUGAAAGAGCUUACAGCUCACUUGUCCCUAUCAAUUAUAAAAGUGCUUAAAGCUCACUUGUGCCUAUUCCUUAUUAAAGCGCCUAAAGCUUACGUGUUCCCUGUUGCUGAUAAAAGAGUUUCAAGUUUACUUGCCCCCAUCGCUUAUAAAAGAGCUUAAAGCUCACAUAAAAUAGCAUGAAGCUCACUUGUCCUUGUGAAUUAUAAAAGAGUUUAGAGCUCACUUGUCGGUGUCGCUUAUAAAAGAGCUUAAAGCUCACUUGUCCCUCCCACUUAUACAAGAGCAUAAAGCUCACGUGUCCUGGUUGCUUGUAAAAUAGCUUAUAGCUGACUUGUCCCUCUCUCUCGCUCUCUUAUAAAAGAGCUUAAACCUCACGUCUCCCUGUCACUUAUGAAAGAGCAUUCAGCUCACUUGUCUAUGUCACUUAUAAAGAGCUCAAAGCUCAUGUGUCUAUGUCCCUUAUAAAAGAGCAUGAAGCGCACGUGUCUCUGUGGCCUAUAAAAGAGCUUAAAGCUCACUUCUCCCUGUUGCUUAUCAAAGAGCUUAAAAGUUACUUGUCCCUCCCCAUUUGUAAAUGUCCCUGUCGUUUAUAAAAUUGCAUAUAGCUCAUGUGUCCUUGAUGCUUGUAAAAGAGCUUAAAGCUCACGUGUCUAUAUCGCUUAUAAAAGAGCUUAAAGCUCUAUAUCGCUUAUAAAAGGCUUAAAGCUCAUGUGUCUCUAUUGCUAAGGCUCAUGUGUCCCUAUUGUUUAUAAAAGAGCUUAACGGCACAGUUACUCUUGCUUAUAAAAGAGCUUAAUGCUCAUUUAUCCUAAUGAUUAUGAAGUAGCACAAUGCUUAUGAAAGAACUUGCUCAAAUGUCCAUGUUGCUUAUGAAAAGCGUCUAAUGCUCAGGUAUCACUCAUAGCUUGAUUCUCACAUGUCCCUACUGCUUAUGAAAGAGCUUAAAGCUCACUUAUCGUGUGGCUUAUGAAAGAGCCUAAAGCUCACUUGCCCUUGUUACUUAUAAAAUAGCAUAAAGCUCACUUGCCCAUGCUGCUUAUUGAAAAACUUUAAAGCUCACUUGUCCCUGUCAUUUGUAAAAGAACUUAAAGCUCACUUAUCCUCAUUGUUAAUUGAAGAGCUUAAAGAUAAAGCUCACUUAGGUCCCUCUGCAUAUUAAACACUAAAGCUCGCGUGUCCCUAUGGCUUAUAGAAAGCUUGAAGGUUAGUUGUCCCAGUCUCUUAUAAAAGAGUUUAAAGCUGACGCUCCCUGUUGCUUAUAAAAGAGAUUAAAAUAAUCUUGUCCAUGUCCCUAAUAGAACAUCUUAAAGUCACAUAAAAGAGAUGAGCUCACGUGUCCAUAUGGAUAUAAAAUAGCAUAAAGCUCAACGUUUCCUUCCCAUUUAUGAAAAAGCUUAGAGGUCACUUGUCUCUCUCGCUUAUAAAAGGGCUUAAAGCUCACGGGUCCCUGUUGUUUAAUAUAAGAGCUUAAAGUUCACCUUUCUCUGCCACUCGUAAAAGACCGUAAAGCUUACUUGCUCCUGCCGCUUAUAAAAGAGCGUAAAACUCACUUGUCCCUGUCAUUUAUGAAAGAGUUUUAACGAUCACUUGUUCCCAUCAUUAAUUAAAGAGCUUGAAGCAUAACGCUCACUUGUCCCUGCUGCUUAUUAAACAACAUAAAGCCCACUUGUCCCUCUGGCUUAUGGAAAAGCUUAAAGGUUGCUCGUCCCUGUCUCCUAUAGAAGAGUUUAAAGCUCAUGUGUCCAUGUUGCUACUAAAAUAACUUAAAGCUCACAUAACAGAGCAUGACGCUCACAUAUCCCGAUGUUGAUUAUAAAAGAGCUUAAAGCUCACUUGUCCUCGUCGCUUGCAAAAGAGCUUAAAGCUCACUUGUCCUCGUCGCUUGCAAAAGAGCUAAAGCUCACUUGUCCCCCAACGCCCCCGCUUAUAAAGAGCUUAAAAGCUCACUGUCUCUGCGCUUAUAAAGAGUUAAAGUUCUGGGGUCUGUAUAAAAGAGCUUAAAGCUCACUUGUCCCCUCGUUUAUAAAAAAGAGCAUAAAGGUCACAUGUCUUUAUCGCUUCUUAAAGAGCUUAAAGCUACUUGUCCCUAUGGCUUAUAAAAGAGCUUGAAGCUCAUUCGUCCUGCUGUUAAAAGAGUAUGAAGUUCACGUGUCCCUGUGGCUCAUAAAAGAGCUUAAACUUUGCUUCUCCCUGUAGCUUAUAAGGCGUAAAGAACUAUGUCAGUGUUCCUAUGGUAUAAAGUUUAAAGCUCACGUGUCCCUUCUGUUCACAGAAGAGUUUAGUGCUCAUGUGUCCCUCUUACUUACAAAAGAGCGCAAUGCUCAUGUGUCACUCCUAAGCAAGAGCUUAAUGCUCACAUGUCCCUGGUGCUUAUAAAAGAGCUUAAAGCUCAUGUGUCCCGGUUGCUUAUAAAAGUGCUUAAGACUCACGUGUCCUUGCUUAAAAUGCUCAUAACCCAAUGAUUACGAAAUAGCUUGAUGAUCAUGUGUGAAAGCGCUUGAUGCUCAAAUGUCCCUGUUGCUUAUCUAAAAACUUUCUCGAGUGUCCCUGUUGCAUAUGAAAAGAGCUUAAUGCGCACGUAUCCCUCAGAGCUGAUGCUCACAUGUCCCUCAUGUGUCCCUGUGGCAUAUGAAAGAGCUUACAGCUCACUUGUCCCUAUCAAUUAUAACAGAGCUUAAAGCUCACUUGUCCCUAUUCCUUAUUAAAGCGCCUAAAGCUUACGUGUUCCGUGUUGCUUAUAAAAGAGUUUCAAGUUUACUUGCCCCCAUCACUUAUAAAAGAGCUUAAAGCUCACAUAAAAUAGCAUGAAGCUCACUUGUCCUUGUGAAUUAUAAAAGAGUUUAGAGCUCACUUGUCGGUGUCGCUUAUAAAAGAGCUUAAAGCUCACUUGUCCCUACUUAUACAAGAGCAUAAAGCUACGUGUCCUGGUUGCUUGUAAAUAGCUUAUAGAUUCCUCUCUCUCUCUUAUAAAAGAGCUUAAACCUCACGUCUCCCUGUCACUUAUAAAAGAGCAUUCAGCUCACUUGUCUAUGUCUUAAAAGAGCUCAAAGCUCAUGUGUCCAUGUCCCUUAUAAAAGAGCAUGAAGCGCACGUGUCUCUGUGGCCUAUAAAAGAGCUUAAAGCUCACUUCUCCCUGUUGCUUAUCAAAGAGCUUAAAAGUUACUUGUCCCUCCCCAUUUGUAAAUGUCCCUGCGUUUAUAAAAUUGCAUAUAGCUCAUGUGUCCUUGAUGCUUGUAAAAGAGCUUAAAGCUCACGUGUCUAUAUCGCUUAUAAAAGAGCUUAAGGCUCAUGUGUCUCUAGCUUAAGGCUCAUUUGUAAAAAAGAGCUUAACGGCACAUGUUCUCUUGCUUAUAAAAGAGCUUAAUGCUCAUAUCCUAAUGAUUAUGAAGUAGCACAAUGCUUAUGAAAGAAUUGCUCAAAUGUCCAUGUUGCUUAUGAAAAGCGUCUAAUGCUCAGGUAUCACUCAUAGCUUGAUUCUACAUGUCCCUACUGCUUAUAAAGAGCUUAAGCUCACUUAUCGUGUGGCUUAUGAAAGAGCCUAAAGCUCACUUGCCCUUGUUACUUAUAAAAAGCAUAAAGCUCACUUGCCCAUGCUGCUUAUUGAAAAACUUAAAGCUCACUUGUCCCUGUCAUUUGUAAAAGAACUUAACUCACUUAUCCUCAUGUUAAUUGAAGAGUUAAAGCAUAAAGCUCACUUGUCCCUCUGCAUAUUAAACAGCAUAAAGCUCGCGUGUCCCUAUGGCUUAUAGAAAAGCUUGAAGGUUAGUUGUCCCAGUCUCUUAUAGAAGAGUUUAAAGCUCACGUCCUGUUGCUUAUAAAAGAGAUUAAAAUAAUCUUGUCCAUGCCCUAAUAGAACAACUUAAAGCUCACAUAAAAGAGCAUGUAGCUCACGUGUCCAUAUGGAUAUAAAAUAGCAUAAAGCAACUUUCUUCCCAUUUAUGAAAAAGCUUAAGGUCACUUGUCCCUCUCGCUUAUAAAAGGGCUUAAAGCUCACGGUCCUGUUGUUAAUAUAAGAGCUUAAAGCUCACUUUUCUCUGCCACUCGUAAGACCAUAAAGCUUACUUGUCUGCCGCUUAUAAAAGAGCGUAAACUCACUUGUCCUGUCAUUUAUGAAAGAGUUUUAACGCUCACUUGUUCCCAUCAUUAAUUAAGAGCUUGAAGCAUAACGUCACUGUCCACUGCUUAUUAAAGAGCAUAAAGCCCACUUGUCCCUAUGGCUUAUGGAAAAGCUUAAAGGUUGCUUGUCCCUGUCUCCUAUAGAGUUUAAAGCUCAUGUGUCCAGUUGCUUAUAAAAGAGAUUAAAUAAACUGUCCAUGUCCCUACUAAAAUAACUUGAAGCUCACGUGUCCCGAUGUUGAUUAUAAAAGAGCUUAAAGCUCACUUGUCCUCGUCGCUUGCAAAAGAGCUAAAGCUCACUUGCCCCCCCUCCCCCUCCGCCUCUUAUAAAAGAACUUAAAAGCUCACUUGUCUCUGCCGCUUAUAGAAGAGCUCAAAGUUCUGGGGUCUGUGUAUAUAAAAGAGCUUAAAGCUCAUGUGUCCCGGUUGCUUAUAAAAGAGCUUAAAGCUCACUUGUCCCUCUCGUUUUUAAAAAAGAGCAUAAAGGUCACAUGUCUUUAUCGCUUCUUAAAGAGCUUAAAGCUCACUUGUCCCUAUGGCUUAUAAGAGAGCUUGAAGCUCAUUCGUCCUGCUGCUUGUAAAAGAGUAUGAAGCUCACGUGUCCCUGUGGCUCAUAAAAGAGCUUAAAGUUUGCUUGUCCCUGUAGCUUAUAAAAGGGCUUAAAGCUGAAUGCUCAUGUGUCCUAUUGGCUUAUAAAAGAGUUUAAAGCUCACUUGUCCCUUCUGUUCACAAAAGAGUUUAGUGCUCAUGUGUCCCUCUUACUUACAAAAGAGCGCAAUGCUCAUGUGUCACUCCUAAGCAAGAGCUUAAUGCUCACAUGUCCCUGGUGCUUAUAAAAGAGCUUAAAGCUCAUGUGUCCCGGUUGCUUAUAAAAGAGCUUAAAGCUCACUUGUCCCUCUCGUUUAUAAAAAAGAGCAUAAAGGUCACAUGUCUUUAUCGCUUCUUAAAGAGCUUAAAGCUCACUUGUCCCUAUGGCUUGUAAAAGAGCUUGAAGCUCAUUCGUCCUGCUGCUUAUAAAAGAUUAUGAAGCUCACGUGUCCCUGUGGCUCAUAAAAGAGCUCGUCUCUGUAGCUUAUAAAAGGGCUUAAAGCUGAAAGCUCAUGUGUCCUAUUGGCUUAUAAAAGAGUUUAAAGCUCACGUGUCCCUUCUGUUCAUAAAAGAGUUUAGUGCUCAUGUGUCCCUCUUUACUUACAAAAGAGCGCAAUACUCAUGUGUCACUCCUAAGCAAGAGCUUAAUGCUCACAUGUCCCUGGUGCUUAUAAAAGAGCUUAAAGCUCACGUGUCCCGGUUGCUUAUAAAAGUGCUUAACACUCACGUGUCCUUGCUUAAGAAAGAGUUUAAUGCUCAUAACCCAAUGAUUACGAAAUAGCUUGAUGAUCACGUGAGAAAGCGCUUAAUGCUCAAAUGUACGUGUUGCUUAUCUAAAAACUUUCUCGAGGGUCCCUGUUGCAUAUGAAAAGAGCUUAAUGCGUA